RNAcentral lists this ribosomal RNA (276 nucleotides) under uncultured prokaryote. Its description in RNAcentral is "partial 16S ribosomal RNA". It matches the Rfam family "Bacterial small subunit ribosomal RNA", at positions 524 to 800 of the family's 1533-position model. The record is from RNAcentral.
UACGUAGGGGGCGAGCGUUGUCCGGAUUUACUGGGCGUAAAGGGUGAGUAGGCGGUUGUAUAUGUCAGGUGUAAAAGGCUAUGGCUUAACCAUGGUUAGCACUUGAAACUGUACAACUUGAGUGCAGGAGAGGUAAGUGGAAUUCCUAGUGUAGCGGUGAAAUACGUAGAUAUUAGGAGGAACACCAGUGGCGAAGGCGACUUACUGGACUGUAACUGACGCUGAGUCACGAAAGCGUGGGUAGCAAACAGGAUUAGAUACCCCUGUAGUCCCUGA